This is a non-coding RNA of Cricetulus griseus (Chinese hamster), 324 nucleotides long. Lineage: Eukaryota; Metazoa; Chordata; Mammalia; Rodentia; Cricetidae. The record is from Rfam.
GGAUAGGAGGGUGAUCUGGUUACAACAUCUGUCACCCUACUCAUCUCCAAGGUUGACUCAGCUAAUCUGGCUAACUAGGUCGGUGUCCCAUUUCAACCUUACCACUCCAUGUGUAUCUCACCCAAACUUUCACGGUUGGUUGAAGAGGACAACCUUCCCCUAUAGAUCAGGAACAUUCCUUCAUCAAGGGUAUAUGAGUAGCUGUACUGUCCUGAUAGAACCUCCAAACAAGUUCUCAAGUCUGCAUUUUCUGAUUUCUCAUUCCUAAAUGUUCAAUUCAAUAUAUUAUCAGUCUCAGAAUCUCCAAUGAUGAUGCUUAUACAU